GGGUGCCACAUGGCCCGGCAGGCAGGGCGGCUGGAGAGGCGGCGAGGGACGGGAGAUCAGAGGCCCUGCCCUUUGUCCAGGCACCGCCUCCCACUCCGCCCAAUCCCCCCUUCACCCCCUUCUGGACGUCCCCUCCCCCUUACCGAUGCCAGGCCCACCGCCCCGGGGGCCCGGCCCUCACGCCCGAGCCUCCAACAGUCCUCACCGGCCCGCAGGCCUGCUUGUCUUCCCGCCGCCCUCGUCUCCGCCCACAGCCGGUCGCUGGCUGCCGGAUCCCCAAGUGCUAUUAGAUCCAGACGGUUCUCGUCCGAGCGGCCCCUGAAGCUUCGGACGCCGUCUGCAACCGCAGCCACGCCCCACUACUGACCACGCCCCGCCCCGAGCCCCGCCCCGCUUCUGGACACGCCCCCACUGACUGUUACACCCAACCUCCAAAGAUCACGCCCCCCGGACAGCCACGCCCCACUCGCUGUUACACACCACCCAAUCGUCCUACUAUGGCCACACCCUCAAGGUAUAACCACACCCACAUCCUUUAGCCACACCCCCUGGAGUGGGGGACAAGCCUCUGUCCCUGACCACGCCCCGAUCACAGCAGGCCACGCCCCAGGCCAGAGCCACACCUCUCCCUGUAGAGCGAGGCCCUGGAGUCACAGGUUUGGGGGCUCUCCUGUGUUCCGCUUGCGAAGCCCACCCAGCGGCUUGGGGUGCCUUUCCUCGCCCUGUGGCUCGGAAGAUGUCCAGGGAGCGCGCUGGGCGCCCCUGCGGGGCACCGUCCUGUGCCCAUUGUCCCAAUGCCGGGACUUUAAUUUGUCCAAUUUUUCAGUUUAGUCAGAAGGGCAAAUCUGGUUCCUAUUAACUUCACAACAGCCAAAAACGGAAGAUGAGAAAUUAUCCUGACUGAUUGCCUUGCAAAAUUUUAUCUUCAGUAUCCUUACAUCCUUUGAUUUUUUUAUCUUUUCUGUUUUGAGCACCAGCUGUUCUUUUAAGGUCAUUUUGUUUUUUUGCCAGAUAUAUGAAAUUAAGUACCCCCCCCCCCCUCAAGUAGUUCCCCCUCUGCACCCAGUUCGGGGACUCCUGUGAUCUUGCAGAAACCUCCAUCUGUACCCCUUCCUCAGCACAUUUCCUCGAUUUUGGUUGAGGUGCUCUGCAAACACUGCUUGCCACGCAGUACCUCUCAGCUAUCAACCACCGGCUCACCUGAACUACUGAAUCUUCUGUUCAUAUUCAACAUUUCACCUCUUUUCCAUUCCUACCUCACAUUACCAAUACACUUUGAGGAUGUUUAUCCAGCGGAGGUGUUCAAUCUGUUCCUUUUUAGUGGCCGAAGUCUCAGAUUUUGCCAGAGCCCCUUUUCUUGCAAUCUUGCCCGCAGGAAAAGCCACUCACACUGUUUCCCAGUGCCCCAAAGCUGGCAAAGCUGGUGUGGACUUCCUGCUUGUCCAGCCGACCAAUCAUGCUGCAAAAGGAUUCUCCUUCCUUUCCAACCACUAAAAUAAGCCAAAUUUCUUCUGUUGCUGGGAAAGCUUAGUUUUGGGAGGUAUGGCAUCAGGGUGCUGAAUCUUGCAUGUGUGUUCCAUCUACUCCUCGGUCCUGCUAGGCUGAGGGUUGGUCUGGUGGUACUGAGCUAAGCAUUGGCUUUCCUGUUCAAGUCAGCCGGUUGUGUGAAUACAGUUCUGGAGCUGUGCCGGGCAGAUGCCAUAUUUGCACCUGUUUCUCUGCUGUCCAGAGGCCACAUGUUCUUCCAUUGAGAGACCACUGUCCUGUCUUCCCUUGGAGGAUUUCUCAGCAUUAUUUUCACUCCAUACUCAGCUCACAAGUGAACAAUUCAACUAGCUCCCCAAUUUGAAAGGCACUACAGCAAUCUGAUUUCUUAAACGUGAAAGGCGACUUUUUUUUUUUUUGUCGUGAUUACCUCAGUGGUGACUGGGCAGGGGAUAGGGGAUUACAUAUUUGUUGUACUUCUUCAAAGCCUUUGAAUAAUUUAAUUUGGGGAAUACUGUAACGCUGUUGUGCGAUGGGUCACGCAUUCCCUCUCUUUAAAGGACUUAGUUGGAUGGACCACAGAAUUGGGCAUUAUUUAGGAUGCAGUGAAGAGCAGCGGGUCCUUUCACCCUCAAGUAUAAGAGGUCUAGCGUUAACAUCUGGCGUAUUUAAGAGACUUCAGGGGGAAAAAUCUGAAAAGUUUACUGAUGCCAAGUUGAGCAGUAGUAAAUAUGGGGAUGGAGGAGGCAACCCCAUGAUGAAAGAGGCAGGCUCAGGCUGAUAUGGAAGGGGAGCCAUGGCUGUGCCUGACUCCCCUUAACAUGCCUAGUGGUUAAGCCUAGCAGAUGGAGAGAACAAACAGGCAGCUGGUGUGGGGGAGCAUACCAUCAAGCCCCAAUCUGCUCCUUUAGCAA
This 2399-nucleotide long non-coding RNA is filed under the name Canis lupus familiaris (dog). RNAcentral's name for it is "lncRNA (ENSCAFG00845013131.1)". The record is from RNAcentral. Lineage: Eukaryota; Metazoa; Chordata; Mammalia; Carnivora; Canidae.